GAUGGUGCUUGCACUAUCACUUAGCGGCGGACGGGUGAGUAAUGCUUAGGAAUCUGCCUAUUAGUGGGGGACAACAUCUCGAAAGGGAUGCUAAUACCGCAUACGUCCUACGGGAGAAAGCAGGGGAUCACUUGUGACCUUGCGCUAAUAGAUGAGCCUAAGUCGGAUUAGCUAGUUGGUGGGGUAAAGGCCUACCAAGGCGACGAUCUGUAGCGGGUCUGAGAGGAUGAUCCGCCACACUGGGACUGAGACACGGCCCAGACUCCUACGGGAGGCAGCAGUGGGGAAUAUUGGACAAUGGGGGGAACCCUGAUCCAGCCAUGCCGCGUGUGUGAAGAAGGCCUUAUGGUUGUAAAGCACUUUAAGCGAGGAGGAGGCUCUUUUGGUUAAUACCCAGAAUGAGUGGACGUUACUCGCAGAAUAAGCACCGGCUAACUCUGUGCCAGCAGCCGCGGUAAUACAGAGGGUGCAAGCGUUAAUCGGAUUUACUGGGCGUAAAGCGCGCGUAGGCGGCCAAUUAAGUCAAAUGUGAAAUCCCCGAGCUUAACUUGGGAAUUGCAUUCGAUACUGGUUGGCUAGAGUGUGGGAGAGGAUGGUAGAAUUCCAGGUGUAGCGGUGAAAUGCGUAGAGAUCUGGAGGAAUACCGAUGGUGAAGGCAGCCAUCUGGCCUAACACUGACGCUGAGGUGCGAAAGCAUGGGGAGCAAACAGGAUUAGAUACCCUGGUAGUCCAUGCCGUAAACGAUGUCUACUAGCCGUUGGGGCCUUUGAGGCUUUAGUGGCGCAGCUAACGCGAUAAGUAGACCGCCUGGGGAGUACGGUCGCAAGACUAAAACUCAAAUGAAUUGACGGGGGCCCGCACAAGCGGUGGAGCAUGUGGUUUAAUUCGAUGCAACGCGAAGAACCUUACCUGGUCUUGACAUAGU
This 925-nucleotide ribosomal RNA is filed under the name uncultured bacterium. RNAcentral's name for it is "bacterial SSU rRNA". It matches the Rfam family "Bacterial small subunit ribosomal RNA", at positions 72 to 990 of the family's 1533-position model. The record is from RNAcentral.